This 1617-nucleotide ribosomal RNA is filed under the name uncultured bacterium. RNAcentral's name for it is "bacterial SSU rRNA". It matches the Rfam family "Bacterial small subunit ribosomal RNA". The record is from RNAcentral.
AUUGAACGCUGGCGGCAUGCUUUACACAUGCAAGUCGAACGGUAACGCGGGGGCAACCCUGGCGACGAGUGGCGAACGGGUGAGUAAUACAUCGGAACAUAUCCAGUAGCGGGGGAUAACCUAUCGAAAGAUGGACUAAUACCGCAUACGAUCUACGGAUGAAAGCAGGGGACCGCAAGGCCUUGCACUAUUGGAGUGGCCGAUGUCGGAUUAGCUAGUUGGUGGGGUAAAGGCUUACCAAGGCGACGAUCCGUAGCUGGUCUGAGAGGACGAUCAGCCACACUGGAACUGAGACACGGUCCAGACUCCUACGGGAGGCAGCAGUGGGGAAUUUUGGACAAUGGGCGCAAGCCUGAUCCAGCCAUGCCGCGUGAGUGAAGAAGGCCUUCGGGUUGUAAAGCUCUUUCGGUGAAGACGAAACGGUUAGCGCUAAUAACGCUGACUAAUGACGGUACUCACAGAAGAAGCACCGGCUAACUACGUGCCAGCAGCCGCGGUAAUACGUAGGGUGCAGGCGUUAAUCGGAAUUACUGGGCGUAAAGCGUGCGCAGGCGGUUUGCUAAGACAGGUGUGAAAUCCCCGGGCUUAACCUGGGAAUUGCGCUUGUAACUGGCAAGCUANAGUGUGGCANANGGGGGGUGGAAUUNCACGUGUUAGCAGUGAAAUGCGUANAUAUGNGGAGGAACACCGAUNGGCGAANGCAGCCCCCUGGGUUAACACUGACGCUNAUGCNCGAAAGCGUGGGGAGCAAACAGGAUUANAUACCCCUGGUANUCCACNCCCUUAACUAUUUUUGNGUAAAAUAUUGGGAGGAACCCCCNAUGGGGGAAGNCAGCCCCCUGGGUUAAACANUGACGGUUCAUGCACGAAAGGGGUGGGNAGCAAACCAGGAUUAGAUCCCUUGGUAGUCCCCGCCCUUAAAUUAUGUCAANUAGUUGUCGGGGAAAGAAAUNCCUUGGUAACGAAGCUAACGCGUAAAGUUGACCGCCUGGGNAGUACGGCCCGCAAGGUUAAAACUCAAAGGAAUUGACGGGGACCCGCACAAGCGGUGGAUUAUGUGGAUUAAUUCGAUGCAACGCGAAAAACCUUACCUACCCUUGACAUGCCAGGAAGCCCGCAGAGAUGUGGGCGUGCCCGAAAGGGAACCUGGACACAGGUGCUGCAUGGCUGUCGUCAGCUCGUGUCGUGAGAUGUUGGGUUAAGUCCCGCAACGAGCGCAACCCUUGCCAUUAGUUGCUACAUUCAGUUGGGCACUCUAAUGGGACCGCCGGUGACAAACCGGAGGAAGGUGGGGAUGACGUCAAGUCCUCAUGGCCCUUAUGGGUAGGGCUUCACACGUAAUACAAUGGUCGGUACAGAGGGCUGCCAACCCGCAAGGGGGAGCUAAUCCCAGAAAGCCGAUCGUAGUCCGGAUUGUAGUCUGCAACUCGACUGCAUGAAGCCGGAAUCGCUAGUAAUCGCGGAUCAGCAUGUCGCGGUGAAUACGUUCCCGGGUCUUGUACACACCGCCCGUCACACCACGGGAGUGGGUUCCACCAGAAGUAGUUAGCCUAACCGCAAGGAGGGCGAUUACCACGGUGAGAUUCAUGACCGGGGUGAAGUCGUAACAAGGUAACC